Molecule: ribosomal RNA, 405 nt
Filed under: uncultured bacterium
Lineage: Bacteria
Description: partial 16S ribosomal RNA
Rfam family: Bacterial small subunit ribosomal RNA
Source: RNAcentral
AUUGAACGCUGGCGGCAGGCUUAACACAUGCAAGUCGAACGAGUGGCGGACGGGUGAGUAAUGCUUGGGAAUCUAGCUUAUGGAGGGGGAUAACUACGGGAAACUGUAGCUAAUACCGCGUACCAUAGGAUGAGCCAAAGUGGGAUUAGGUAGUUGGUGAGGGAAUGGCGCACCAAGCCGACGAUCUCUAGCUGGUCUGAGAGGAUGACCAGUCACACUGGUACUGUGCCAGGGCCCAGACUCCUACGGUCGGCAGCAGGGGGGAAGAUUGCGAAAUGGGGGCAACCUGAUGCAGCCAUGCCGCGUGAAUGAAGAAGGCCUUCGGGUUGUAAAGUUCUUUCGGUAGCUAGGCGUUAACUACAGAAGAAGCACCGGCUAACUCCGUGCCAGCAGCCGCGGUAAUUC